Molecule: long non-coding RNA, 387 nt
Organism: Fukomys damarensis (Damara mole-rat)
Lineage: Eukaryota; Metazoa; Chordata; Mammalia; Rodentia; Bathyergidae
Exons: 3
Source: RefSeq, a predicted model, not a curated record
UGGGGAAAGGAACGUGUGGUGUCUCACUUGUCCAAGCUGAAGAACCAGUACUGAGGAUGGCCCCCAGGGACUGGACACGCCCCCUACUACCACGGGCCCUCUUCUCUACGUCAGUACAGCUUUGCCAGACAAGUUCCAUGCAACUGCACGAAUUUCACUUACUACUUAAAUAACUCCAAAGACAGCUACCGUGGAUAAAGGAGGCCAAGCAUGACACACCCAGAACAACCAACGAGCCGAUACACUGUCAACUGGGAAAUGCUGGUGCUCGCUUUGGCACAACAGCCUGAAGCCCAUCCAAGGGCACAGGAUAACACCAGAUGGACACGAGAGAGGGCAACCACUGCUAUCUCCCUCAGGAGCCAGGGCUGUGAAAAUUCUUGAAGU